UGAGCUGCAGUUUUGACCACUGGAACGCAAACACAAUCUGUUCCUCGAACUUCUUCACAGUUCAUAGAUGUGCACCACCUGUGCUUGAUGACCUCCAUGAUAUUUCACACAUUCAGAAGGUGGAAAUGGAGUUAACCACAGAUGAUAAAUGCUGCAGGUGCAAGGCCGCGAGCAGGGAAGCUGAAGCCUUAUGCGGUGCCCACGAUUUUCGACCAUUCCAAGCCGCUAUUGCCUGAACGUACUGUCUUCGCGAAGAGAAGAAAGGAGUAGUAGCAGUGCACAGACUGAGCCAAACCAGAUGUACACACGUGGAGUGCAAACAAGGCCAUGUGUGAGAAUUAUUGGUACACAAACAUGAGCUGCAGUUUUGACCACUGGAACGCAAACACAAUUUGUUCCUCGAACUUCUUCACCAGUUCACAGAUGUGCACCACCUGUGCUUGAUGACCUCGGUGAUAUUUCACUUAUUCAGAAGGUGGAAAUGGAGUUGACCACACAUUAUGAAUGUUGCUGCCCGAGCACAACGCCGCCCCUCCUCCUUCAGAACACUACAAAGACGCAUGCCCCUGGUGUAACGAACAGCCCACUGCCUACCACGUCGUCAUGUGGGGGUGUACGGGCCCCAAACCGCCAGACAUACAAACACAACAACCGGAGGAGCAGUGGGAGGCCACCCUGUCCAGCUCAGACCUAGAGACCCAGCGCGGACUGGUAAUCCAGGCGAGAGCAGCAGCCAAGGCCACUGGAGUUUUGAAAUGAAGACUCCACUCACUGUACAUUUCUUUUUUUCUCCGUAUUUCUUU
Dermacentor albipictus is the source of this 803-nucleotide non-coding RNA. Lineage: Eukaryota; Metazoa; Arthropoda; Arachnida; Ixodida; Ixodidae. The record is from RefSeq and is a predicted model, not a curated record.